This 478-nucleotide non-coding RNA is filed under the name Pan troglodytes (chimpanzee). The record is from RNAcentral. Lineage: Eukaryota; Metazoa; Chordata; Mammalia; Primates; Hominidae.
GAGCUUGGACGCAAGGCUUCCACGAGGCUGUGAAGGAGGCUGCAUGGAAACCGGUGGGGAUCUGAAAAGCUUUUAGUGGCCUCGCCACACACAGCACUUUAGAUGCUCAGGUGACGAGCAACAUUUUCCAAGCCCAGCUAGUAAGCACCUCACCUCCUCUGGCUUCCAGAACCUGGUGUGGAGGGCCAGGAGAGGCUUCAGGACUGAAGGGCAGAGCAGCAGACUCCGGGGCUCAUGUAGGAACAUGCCUUCAGCCAAAGAUUAUCCACGCUGCAUGGAGACUCUUGCUAAAUAUCACUGAUGGAAUCUCGCUCUGUCGCCCAGGCUGCAGUGCAGCGGCAUGAUGUCUGCUCACUGCAACCUCCACCUCUCGGGUUCAAGUGAUUCUCCUGCCUCAGCCUCCUGAGUAGCUGGUAUUAUAGGCGUGCGCCACCACACCCUGCUAAUUUUUGUAUUUUUAGUAAAGAUGGGGUUUCAC